This 253-nucleotide ribosomal RNA is filed under the name uncultured bacterium. RNAcentral describes it as "partial 16S ribosomal RNA". It matches the Rfam family "Bacterial small subunit ribosomal RNA", at positions 524 to 776 of the family's 1533-position model. The record is from RNAcentral.
UACGUAGGGACCGAGCGUUGUCCGGAUUCAUUGGGCGUAAAGAGCUCGUAGGCGGCUGCUCAAGUCGAAUGUGAAAACUCGAGGCUCAACCUCGAGCCUGCAUUCGAUACUGGGCGGCUAGAGUCUGGUAGGGGGAUCUGGAAUUCCUGGUGUAGCGGUGGAAUGCGCAGAUAUCAGGAGGAACACCAAUGGCGAAGGCAGCUCUCUGGGACGGUACUGACGCUGAGACGCGAAAGCGUGGGGAGCGAACAGG